RNAcentral lists this ribosomal RNA (577 nucleotides) under uncultured bacterium. Its description in RNAcentral is "partial 16S ribosomal RNA". It matches the Rfam family "Bacterial small subunit ribosomal RNA", at positions 355 to 919 of the family's 1533-position model. The record is from RNAcentral.
UGGGGAAUUUUGGACAAUGGGCGAAAGCCUGAUCCAGCAAUGCCGCGUGUGUGAAGAAGGCCUUCGGGUUGUAAAGCACUUUUGUCCGGAAAGAAAUCCUUGGCUCUAAUACAGUCGGGGGAUGACGGUACCGGAAGAAUAAGCACCGGCUAACUACGUGCCAGCAGCCGCGGUAAUACGUAGGGUGCAAGCGUUAAUCGGAAUUACUGGGCGUAAAGCGUGCGCAGGCGGUUUGCUAAGACCGAUGUGAAAUCCCCGGGCGUCAACCUGGGAACUGCAUUGGUGACUGGCAGGCUAGAGUAUGGCAGAGGGGGGUAGAAUUCCACGUGUAGCAGUGAAAUGCGUAGAGAUGUGGAGGAAUACCGAUGGCGAAGGCAGCCCCCUGGCCAAGUACUGACGCUCAUGCACGAAAAGCGUGGGGGAGCAAACAGGAUUAGAUACCCUGGUAGUCCACGCCCCUAAACGAUGUCAACUAGUUGUUGGGGGAUUCAUUUUCCUUAGUAACGUAGCUAACGCGUGAAGUUGACCGCCUGGGGAGUACGGUCGCAAGAUUAAAACUCAAAUGAAUUGACGGGGU